Leucoraja erinaceus (little skate) is the source of this 218-nucleotide long non-coding RNA. RefSeq lists it as uncharacterized. The record is from RefSeq and is a predicted model, not a curated record. NCBI's taxonomy places the organism in Eukaryota, Metazoa, Chordata, Chondrichthyes, Rajiformes, Rajidae. The transcript has 3 exons.
CGCCAGGACCAUCUGCCUUGGCAAGGAUCGCGCCUUGACUUCAUGAUGAGAAACUCACCUGUUUAAUAAACAAGCAAGAUAAAGAAUGUGCGGCUUGUCGGGUUAAAUCGGCUGCUUUACGAAGUGCGCUGUGAAAAUGGAGCUGUGGACUUGAACCCAAGAUCCCUUUGAACAUCAAUGCUGCUACAGGGAGCAGUGGACCAAAUGCGGACCCGUUG